UACGCAAUGACAGCUACGGCGUCAAAUGUAAGGCCUGUAAUGUUAAGUUUUAAGGGUAGUCCAACGAAACUGGGCAUCGGGUAGUCAAGGAGGAUCUCCGCGGUUAAUGAAAGACUGAUAUUGCCUGCAUAUUUCGUCCUACAGAAGACUUGGAAAUCCUCCGCUUUUUGUUCGCGCAUUCGCCGGGGUGGGGUAUCGUCGAGGGGAUGGUUAGGAGAAGUAGGUGGGAUGUUGGGUUCAAGGGCUUGCCCUUGGUUAUUUGGCAUUCCUUGCGAAGCAUGGGAAUGGUGUGGAUCACUGAUACUCAUUGAGUCGCGCGAUGGCAGUGUGUUCCCAGUAUUCGC
This 344-nucleotide small RNA is filed under the name Histoplasma capsulatum. Its description in RNAcentral is "hypothetical RNA". Lineage: Eukaryota; Fungi; Ascomycota; Eurotiomycetes; Onygenales; Ajellomycetaceae. The record is from RNAcentral. RNAcentral also lists the same sequence under 1 other name.